UUACUAUUAUACUUUCUUCUAUAAUAUGUAACAAAAAAAUGCUAUUGUCUGAAAAUGAGAUGAUGAAAUUGAAUUUAUGCCCUAACUUCUAAAAGUGUUUUUUUUCUCCAGAAAGGCAGAUGAAUUGCAAAAUAGUAAAGACAACCUCAGAAAACACCAUGUUCUCACAUAAGGAUUUACAGGACAAAAUAGUAAAGAAUGAAUUCCUUUGAAUUGAAA
Molecule: unclassified non-coding RNA, 219 nt
Filed under: Hevea brasiliensis (rubber tree)
Lineage: Eukaryota; Viridiplantae; Streptophyta; Magnoliopsida; Malpighiales; Euphorbiaceae
Source: RNAcentral